AUUGUAUAUCCAUGAAUAACUGAGUUAGAUUGAAAUCCCUUGAAGAUUCGUCCAUAAAAACUUCUCUUUUCCUACUACCAGUGGUGCCAUUCAAAGUUGACAUUCCGAGCCCUGGAAAGAUGCUUCAUUGUAGAUGUAGCAAAUUCCCAUCCUGAUCUGGUGAUCUGAUAAUCAAGUCGGAGUAAUUACUCAGAUCAAGGCCUGAAGUGCCUUCUUCAAAAUCCACUCUUAGUAGUACCAAAUUAGUCUUCAAUAGAAUCUUCUUCGAAUCACAAUCAGCUUUGUCGAACAUAGAAAACUGCUUCUAAUAAUCCUUUGAGAAAUCAAUUGGAUUGGGUCAUCAAUGUACUUCCAUUACCGGUUCUGAGAAUCUGGUAUUUGAAAGCCCGGUGUUUGUCUUGUAAUCUGUCAGCCUGAUCUGUCUCAACUAAAUGUCAAUCUGAUUUGUCUUGGAGUAGAAUAAUUAAAAAGGUUACGGGACACUUGAUUAUUUAAACUAAGUUUAAAUU
Molecule: long non-coding RNA, 509 nt
Filed under: Daucus carota (carrot)
Lineage: Eukaryota; Viridiplantae; Streptophyta; Magnoliopsida; Apiales; Apiaceae
Description: long non-coding RNA (DCAR_LNC000912)
Source: RNAcentral